This is a non-coding RNA of Ameiurus melas (black bullhead), 94 nucleotides long. NCBI's taxonomy places the organism in Eukaryota, Metazoa, Chordata, Actinopteri, Siluriformes, Ictaluridae. The record is from the annotation of a GenBank genome assembly.
CCUCCGAUUGCUCAGUUGGUAGGGCGGAGGACUGUAGGUACUUAAACUAGUCAUCCUCAGGUUGCUGGUUCGAGCCUGUAUCCGGCUCGAAGGA